This is a long non-coding RNA of Vombatus ursinus (common wombat), 777 nucleotides long. RefSeq lists it as uncharacterized. The transcript has 3 exons. The record is from RefSeq and is a predicted model, not a curated record. NCBI's taxonomy places the organism in Eukaryota, Metazoa, Chordata, Mammalia, Diprotodontia, Vombatidae.
GUCACAACCUCUAUGCAGUUCAGUUACCCCAUUUAUAAAGUAAGGGAGUUAGAGGGCCUCUAAGGUCUCUUUUACCUCUAAUUCUCUGAUCCUGGGACUAGGUCAUAUAUCCUGCUGACCAAUGUCACAUAUACAAUUAGUGGCAGAGCCAAUUUUCCCUGACUGGUGCCUAGUCCAGUGCUCUUCCCUACUACACUGAUAGUACACACUGCUCACAUUUCACAUGAAAGUUAAAUACUAAUGAGUGGCAGCCCCUUCUAACAGUUACCUUAGGAUUUCCUUGUCCAUAUAAUAAGCAUAAUUAUAGUUGUAUUAUUUAUCACCAUAGGGUUGGCUUGUGGAUCAAGGUUACAAAAUCAAAUAUUAGAGCUAAAAGGAACCUUUAGAAAUCAUGUAGUCAGUCUAACUCUCUUUUAUAGGUGAGGAAACGCCUGGAGACAUUAUGUGGCUUUUGAAAUGACUUUUUAUAACUGGAGUGGUAUGCGGCUAUAAAUUAUCGUGUGGCUCAGUGUCAAAAUAAGUAGUUCUGAUGGAGGGAAGAAAAAGAUAGUUUUUUCACACCCUACUACUUCCAGAUAUAUUCUCUGAUCCAGUGACAUUGGACUUCUGGCUGUUCCAAGAACAAAACACUCCUAUCUCCUGGCACACAUGAACCUCUUAUGGGAAAGUACAGGCUACUAACAAAUAAGGAUAAGCUUGUAAACAUGUUCAUAAGGCUCCUUUAUACAGAAGAUAUUCUUCAUCUUUGCAAAGCUGAAAUUGAUUGGGAGGAACCUA